Molecule: ribosomal RNA, 254 nt
Filed under: uncultured bacterium
Lineage: Bacteria
Description: partial 16S ribosomal RNA
Rfam family: Bacterial small subunit ribosomal RNA
Source: RNAcentral
UACGGGGGGAGCAAGCGUUGUUCGGAUUUACUGGGCGUAAAGGGCGCGUAGGCGGUCAGCACAAGUCAAUUGUGAAAUCUCCGAGCUUAACUCGGAAAGGUCAACUGAAACUGUGCGACUAGAGUGCGGAAGGGGCAACUGGAAUUCUUGGUGUAGCGGUGAAAUGCGUAGAUAUCAGGAGGAACACCGGUGGCGAAGGCGGGUCUCUGGGCCGAUACUGACGCUGAGGAGCGAAAGCGUGGGGAGCGAAUAGG